GACGAACGCUGGCGGCGUGCUUAACACAUGCAAGUCGAACGAAGAGCGAUGGAAGCUUGCUUCUAUCAAUCUUAGUGGCGAACGGGUGAGUAACGCGUAAUCAACCUGCCCUUCAGAGGGGGACAACAGUUGGAAACGACUGCUAAUACCGCAUACGAUCUAAUCUCGGCAUCGAGGAUAGAUGAAAGGUGGCCUCUAUUUAUAAGCUAUCACUGAAGGAGGGGAUUGCGUCUGAUUAGCUAGUUGGAGGGGUAACGGCCCACCAAGGCGAUGAUCAGUAGCCGGUCUGAGAGGAUGAACGGCCACAUUGGGACUGAGACACGGCCCAGACUCCUACGGGAGGCAGCAGUGGGGAAUCUUCCGCAAUGGACGAAAGUCUGACGGAGCAACGCCGCGUGAGUGAUGACGGCCUUCGGGUUGUAAAGCUCUGUUAAUCGGGACGAAAGGCCUUCUUGCGAAUAGUUAGAAGGA
Molecule: ribosomal RNA, 471 nt
Filed under: Veillonella dispar
Lineage: Bacteria; Bacillati; Bacillota; Negativicutes; Veillonellales; Veillonellaceae
Description: bacterial SSU rRNA
Rfam family: Bacterial small subunit ribosomal RNA
Source: RNAcentral